Molecule: antisense RNA, 75 nt
Filed under: Streptomyces sp. BK340
Lineage: Bacteria; Bacillati; Actinomycetota; Actinomycetes; Kitasatosporales; Streptomycetaceae
Description: ASpks TB sRNA
Rfam family: ASpks TB sRNA
Source: RNAcentral
CUUCACCGAGCCGAGCAGCAGCGGCCGGCCCUCCGGCCGGUUCCGCCCGUACGUGGCGAGCAGCGCCUGUGCCUC